AAAUGGCGCGCUCUGGUGACGUCACCGCGCUGGGCCGAGCCGCGAGAACGGUCCUUCCUUCUCUCCUGCUCCUGGGCGAUGAGCUUCCCAGGUUUACCAUAAUAGCAGAAAUUGUGAAAUUGGCCUUGGACUUCAGCCUCUGCCUGGUGCUGGAAGCCACUGCCCUAGAAAUUUCUGCAAUGAUUCUGCAUGACCUCUUUUUGGUAUUCAUUUGCUGAAGUGCUAAUACAGAGGUCACAGAAGAACUUCUGUGAGUUGGUUCUCUCAUCCCACCAUGUGGGUGUCCAGGAAUGGAAGGAAGAGUCUUCGGGAACAGCCUUGGAAAAGGAGGAAAAAUAAACCACUUCCUCACUGCAUGUAACCUUUGUCUACAGCCGUCUCCAUCUUCAUCUUCCUGAGAGCCUGGCUUAGGGUCCUUAUUAAAUUACGACUACAGCUUGUCUCAACAAAAAGAUAUCAAAAUCAAGCUAAACAUGUGAAGUAGAUGCCUGUGCUCCUGGGACUUGACUGGAGGCCAUCUGGUGAGGUUCAGUUCACCCUGGCGGGUGUGUGGCUGCCCUUCCUGAUGAAGCUUUGGAGUGGAGCAGUGAGGCCUGAGGCUGAGCACUUCCUUUCUGUGGCUGGGAUAACAGCCCCCCCCCCCCGAUGAAAAGCAGCACAAGGGAGAGGGAGUUCGCUUCAGUGCACAGUUCCAGACUGCAGUGUACUGUCUAGGGAAAGUCAGUGCAUGAACUUGAAGCAACUCGUCACAUCACAUCCUCAUCCAAGAGCAGAGAAGUGGGUGCGUGCAUGCUUAGUGCUCAGCUAGCUUUCUCUACUCUACAUAGUCUAGGACUCCAAACCAGGCAAUGAGGUCCCUACUUUCAGGGACCCUGGGUGUCCUGGUUGUUUGUUUUUGUUUGUUUGUUUGUUUUGUCAAUUUGACACAAGCUAGAAGAACCUCUAGCUUGAUAUUUUCUCAGUUGAGAAAAUGCCUCAAUCAGAUUGCCUAUAGACAAGUCUAUGGGGCAUUUCCUGAUUAAUGGAUCGGUGUUGAAGGGCCCAGCUCACCAUGAGUGGUGCCACCACCAGGGAAGUGUCCAGGGUCUUAUAGAAAGCAGCCUGGGCAAGCAUGGGGAGCAAGCCAGAAAUCAGCACUUGUCUAUGGCUUCUGCUUCAGCUCCUGUCUCCAAGUCAUAGUGAUUUAAACACAGCAAUAGGAACCCUAAGAUACUGGGUCUUCCCACAGCAACGAAAAUAAUCAGGACCAUCUCCCAGACUGCCCAUGGGCCAACAAUCCCUCAGUGAGACUCUCUUCCCAGGUGAUUCCAUGUGUGAUUAGUUACUUUUCUUAUGGCCGUGAUAAAAUCCCUGAAAGAAGCCACUUAAGAGAGGAAGGUUUUAUUGUGGCUCUGUAGGGAGGCAGUCCGCCAUGGUGGGGAAGGCGUGGCGGCAAAGAACUAACCACUCCACCACCCCAUCUCCUGAUGAUGUAUCAUAGAAAUGAGUCCAGCGUGGGUACUCAGCAGGGUGUAAAAGCUUUUAUGAACAUAAGACUAGUGCAGACUGACCAUUGGGCCGCCCACACUGCACAUCUUCAGGCAGAGUCCACUAGGCUGAGUCAAACAGCAAGACCUGCAACCGGUUCUUUAGAAUCUGGUUUCAAAAUAAGGGUGGGGCUUCUGAUGAGAGGAGGCGGGGGAGUUCCAGCCGUUAGGAAAGUGUGAAGGUUCAGAAGUGAGAACCAAGGAAUCUGCUUUGGAAAAUGUCACUGGGCAGCAGCCCGAAUCCUUUCUGCUCCCGCAGCACGACACCAUCUCCCUUAGCCAGCCCACACUGUCCUUUCCCGCCCGUGUGCCAUCUUCCCUGAAACCAUGAUGCUAGCAGCCACUGAGAGUUAUUAGCCUGUCAAGUCGCUUACAGCCUAAUGUCGCUGGUGUCCUGGCGCUGAUGUCAGCAGUGUGAGUGUCCCCAGAGCAGAGUGAAUCCCUGAAAGUAGUGUGUCCUCUAAGAGCUAUAAAUCCAGGACUGUCCCUGCAUGCUGCAGCAGCUUCAGACUCCUGAUUUAUUAGGCGGUUAUUCCCUGGUGGCUGCUGCUGGCUGUGAUCCGGGUCUCCACUGGACUCCGUGUGGGCUGGGGGAUGGUUGCAGGAAAGACAGGAAAUCCACACUCCACGUCUGAUGUUUAGUCCAGUGAACGACUGCCCGCCUCCCUGGCCAUUGUGUCGGAUCAGCGGUGGCUUGCCAUGCACUCGUUUCCAGCUACAGUCUGAUCUGUGUGUGCUUGUCUUCCCUCUCCUAUUUUACAGGCAUUUUGAAGGCAGACUCUGAUUUUCAUUUCCAGGCUCUGCCUCCCUUGCUCCACACCAGGCUCCUCAAACCUCACUGGGCUUAUGGGAAGCUGGAUACGAUGCAGUGACUGGACUGAUUAAGUGGCUGCUGAAUGGAGAGGCGGAGGGGUAACUUGAUUCUAGAAGGGCAUCCUGGGAAAGCCCGAGUCGCCUUUCUGAAAGCCAGCAACCGAUCUGGGGCACCCAUUACCUCUCUGGCCUGGUCCUUCCCCUGCCAGCGCUAGACUGGGCCAUGCUCCCGGCCAUGCUCCCGCAGCCUCUAGGGAGCAUGGUUGGCCUUCAGUUCUGUGAGUUUCAGUUGGCUCUGUGAACAGAGCCUGUUCCAAGACCAGUGUGAGUGAUUUGGCCACCUCCCUGUUUUAUAAGUCCCGUUCCUGAGCUGGGUCCUACAAACAUCUCCUUGCCUUUCUAUCUUCAGAGGCAAAACAUCUGGGCCAUCCUCAAGUCCUUCAUGCGUCAGGUCCUGCACUGAGCAGGGGACUUGACCAACAGAGGCUGUCUGUACCGCAGCUCCUCCCUGUCACAGGCUCCAUCUCUGGCCUCCACGGGGCUCGGUGGAUCCACGUCCCCUGCCCUCUGCGCUGGCUCUCUGUCCCUGCAGUCUGAGCAGACUCAGCCCUCAGACAGGUAGAGAAGGCAGCAUGACCUAAGAGGGAGUAGGGAGGGGGCGCCCUGCAACUCUGGGGACACCCAGCAGUAUGUCAGGCAGGGAGUGUGUGUCAAACCACCACUGCCCCACCCCACCCCACCCCCAUCCCUGUCCCCACACCUACCUGCCUCUGGCAGGCUCCACAGCUCCAUAGCUCCACUUGCAUCUCAAAUCUGGGGCCUAUCAGCAGCACUGGGAAGUCCAGACAGGCCCAACCUCUCCGCACUUCAGUUUCGUCUGGACCUGACAGUUAUGAAAAUCGAAGCAGGUAGUGGUUGAGAGCACCUAGCCCAGAGUAGUGCUUGUAAGUGUUUAAACCCUAGACUGGAGCAGGGAACAGGACCGUGUCCCCAACUGUGCUGCACAUUUGGCUAGGAACAGUUCACUAAUUUGAGCUCGUUGCUACAUCAGUUCUUAGCAGCCUGGUGCUCAACAUUGAGCUUAGGGACAGGCUCUGGCUGGGCAGAGAUCUGCUUCUACAGGUCGCAGUCUUCUUUCCCACUUUUCAAGGAAG
Non-coding RNA from Peromyscus maniculatus bairdii (prairie deer mouse), 3493 nucleotides. The record is from RefSeq and is a predicted model, not a curated record. NCBI's taxonomy places the organism in Eukaryota, Metazoa, Chordata, Mammalia, Rodentia, Cricetidae.